AUGUUCACUGUUAUAUUAAUGUGUCUGUGGCUUUCACUUGGUGACUCCAUGGCAGAUUCAAUAGAGCCACUUUUCACUCGUGAAGUUGUACAUGAAGGUGAUGAUGUCACUCUGUCCUGCAGCUACAGAAAAUUCACUGAUACAGUAAACAACCUGCACUGGUACAUACAGCAUCCAAAAUCUACACCCGAGUUCCUUCUUUAUAUUUUUCCAAGUGGAGCUCUAAGUCCCAACCGUCCCCCAAGAAUGUUUGCUAAAGUUGAUGAAAAGAAGAAACAAGUGGAUCUGCUCAUCUCCUCUGCUGCUGUAUCAGACUCUGCACUAUACUACUGUAGGCUGUGCCCAAGACUUUCCAUCAUGGAGAGGUGUGAGACAUUCAAGAAGAAACAUUUCUCCACCAUCCAAAUCGAAGCUCAAAUGUCCAGUUGA
Neoarius graeffei (lesser salmon catfish) is the source of this 429-nucleotide non-coding RNA. The record is from the annotation of a RefSeq genome assembly. NCBI's taxonomy places the organism in Eukaryota, Metazoa, Chordata, Actinopteri, Siluriformes, Ariidae.